UCCAUUUUGAGUAUGCAUGCUCUCUUUCUUUUAGAUCAGUUGUGCUGGGGGAACUAAGCUACCGUGUUAUAAGCAGACCUAUUGUGUGGACAGGAACUAAAGCCUGCCAAAUACCGUGUGCGUGAGUCUGAAAACGGACCUUUCAGCCCCUGUCGAGUCUUGAGAUGACAGCAGCCCCAGCUGAAUGCUUGACUGCAACCUCAUGAGAGAACUUGAGGCAAUUCUAACCAGCUAAGCUGCUCCCAGAUUUCUGACCCUCCAAAACUGAUCUGCAGGGUACCAAGUUAUCUGCUAGAAGGCCCAGGCCUUCUCUUCUU
This 317-nucleotide long non-coding RNA is filed under the name Pan troglodytes (chimpanzee). RNAcentral describes it as "long non-coding RNA NONPTRT001213". The record is from RNAcentral. Lineage: Eukaryota; Metazoa; Chordata; Mammalia; Primates; Hominidae.